RNAcentral lists this ribosomal RNA (329 nucleotides) under Escherichia fergusonii. RNAcentral describes it as "bacterial LSU rRNA". It matches the Rfam family "Bacterial large subunit ribosomal RNA", at positions 1424 to 1755 of the family's 2925-position model. Lineage: Bacteria; Pseudomonadati; Pseudomonadota; Gammaproteobacteria; Enterobacterales; Enterobacteriaceae. The record is from RNAcentral.
AACAGGUUAAUAUUCCUGUACUUGGUGUUACUGCGAAGGGGGGACGGAGAAGGCUAUGUUGGCCGGGCGACGGUUGUCCCGGUUUAAGCGUGUAGGCUGGUUUUCCAGGCAAAUCCGGAAAAUCAAGGCUGAGGCGUGAUGACGAGGCACUACGGUGCUGAAGCAACAAAUGCCCUGCUUCCAGGAAAAGCCUCUAAGCAUCAGGUAACAUCAAAUCGUACCCCAAACCGACACAGGUGGUCAGGUAGAGAAUACCAAGGCGCUUGAGAGAACUCGGGUGAAGGAACUAGGCAAAAUGGUGCCGUAACUUCGGGAGAAGGCACGCUGAU